GACGAACGCUGGCGGCGUGCCUAAUACAUGCAAGUCGAACGCAGUGGGGACGGGUGAGAAACACGUGGGUCACCUCCCCAUCAGAGGGGAUAAAACUUGGAAACAGGUGCUACACCGCAAUUGCUGGAUGGACCCGCGGUGCAUUAGCUAGUUGGCGAGGUAACGGCUCACCAAGGCCACGAGUCAUAGCCGACCUGAGAGGGUGAGCGGCCACACGGGGACGCAGACACGGCCCAGACUCCUACGGGAGGCAGCAGUAGGGAAGCUUCGGCAAUGGACGAAAGUCGGACCGAGAAACGCCGCGUGAGUGAAGAAGGUUUUCGGAUCGUAAAACUCUGUUGUUAGAGAAGCGGUAUCUAACCAGAAAGCCACGGCUAACUACGUGCCAGCAGCCGCGGUAAUUC
Molecule: ribosomal RNA, 404 nt
Filed under: uncultured bacterium
Lineage: Bacteria
Description: partial 16S ribosomal RNA
Rfam family: Bacterial small subunit ribosomal RNA
Source: RNAcentral